This 774-nucleotide long non-coding RNA is filed under the name Numida meleagris (helmeted guineafowl). Its description in RNAcentral is "lncRNA (ENSNMEG00000020995.1)". Lineage: Eukaryota; Metazoa; Chordata; Aves; Galliformes; Numididae. The record is from RNAcentral.
UCCCACUGCUCGCUCUGGUGGAAUGAUAUUCCCAUCACAACUCCUGCUGUAAUCACUUUCACUAAUCUUGCUCUCUCUCCUUCCCACAUAGAUUCUCCAGAUCAUUACACAGGUUAGCUCUCCCCCUGCUCACCCACCAGUCACAGGAUUCAAACAAUGAGCUUCAAAUUAUGCUGAGAAUAAAUGGAGGUAAACAGCAAACCCAAGGAGACAAAUAAGACGAACACCUUGAAGAAGAACCAGGGGGAAGGUCCGUAGUCAACAUCCAGCUUCUCCAAAAGUUGUCUUCUUCUCUCAGGAGCAUCUUGCCUGUUUGCAGGUAGAUUCACCAUUUGGAGGAACACCGCUGUCAUGGAAGGUCAUGGUUGGAGAAGGGGAAGGGGGUCUCACAGUUCAUAUAAUAUUCUCAAUAUGGAUGUUAUUCUGCAGUCUUCAUUCAGGCAAAAUCAUCCCGAAGCAAUGAAUAUCAACACAAUGAUAGCUGCUGAAACUGAAACAAGUAUCUAAAGGUGAUGGAACACAAUCUGAUGUCUGUGGAUAGAGAGGGAGGCAGGGAGACAUACCUCUGGUCAUCUUCAUGCUAGAGUGGUAGGAAAGCAUCAGCUUAGUCUGCUUCUUUACAUGGCUUUGGAAGAUGAGGAAGACUGCUGAGUGAGAGCAGAGAUGAGAAAUUUUCUUCCCUUCUUUUGCCUUGAGAGUUACAACUCUGGGCAGCUGGCAAGCAGCUGAGUAGUGUCCCUUCACAAUUAGCCCAUCAGGCAUGGUAAGUAUCUA